GACAGGGAGAAUUCUUAGAGCCAUU
Molecule: non-coding RNA, 25 nt
Filed under: Cricetulus griseus (Chinese hamster)
Lineage: Eukaryota; Metazoa; Chordata; Mammalia; Rodentia; Cricetidae
Source: RNAcentral